GACGAACGCUGGCGGCGGGCUUAACACAUGCAAGUCGAACGGAAAGGCCCUGCUUUUGUGGGGUUCUCGAGUGGCGAACGGGUGAGUAACACGUGAGUAACCUGCCCUUGACUUUGGGAUAACUUCAGGAAACUGGGGCUAAUACCGGAUAGGAGCUCCUGCUGCAUGGUGGGGGUUGGAAAGUUUCGGCGGUUGGGGAUGGACUCGCGGCUUAUCAGCUUGUUGGUUGGGUAGUGGCUUACCAAGGCUUGGACGGGUAGCCGGCCUGAGAGGGUGACCGGCCACAUUGGGACUGAGAUACGGACCAGACUCCUACGGGAGGCAGAAGUGGGGAAUAUUGCACAAUGGGCGGAAGCCUGAUGCAGCAACGCCGCGUGCGGGAUGACGGCCUUCGGGUUGUAAACCGCUUUCGCCUGUGACGAAGCGUGAGUGACGGUAAUGGGUAAAGAAGCACCGGCUAACUACGUG
This 468-nucleotide ribosomal RNA is filed under the name uncultured bacterium. Its description in RNAcentral is "partial 16S ribosomal RNA". It matches the Rfam family "Bacterial small subunit ribosomal RNA", at positions 28 to 507 of the family's 1533-position model. The record is from RNAcentral.